UUGGAAGUAAAAGUCGUAACAAGGUCUCCGUUGGUGAACCAGCGGAGGGAUCAUUACCGAGUUUACAACUCCCAAACCCAAUGUGAACGUUACCAAACUGUUGCCUCGGCGGGGUCACGCCCCGGGUGCGUCGCAGCCCCGGAACCAGGCGCCCGCCGGAGGAACCAACCAAACUCUUUCUGUAGUCCCCUCGCGGACGUAUUUCUUACAGCUCUGAGCAAAAAUUCAAAAUGAAUCAAAACUUUCAACAACGGAUCUCUUGGUUCUGGCAUCGAUGAAGAACGCAGCGAAAUGCGAUAAGUAAUGUGAAUUGCAGAAUUCAGUGAAUCAUCGAAUCUUUGAACGCACAUUGCGCCCGCCAGUAUUCUGGCGGGCAUGCCUGUCCGAGCGUCAUUUCAACCCUCGAACCCCUCCGGGGGAUCGGCGUUGGGGAUCGGGACCCCUCACACGGGUGCCGGCCCCGAAAUACAGUGGCGGUCUCGCCGCAGCCUCUCCUGCGCAGUAGUUUGCACAACUCGCACCGGGAGCGCGGCGCGUCCACGUCCGUAAAACACCCAACUUUCUGAAAUGUUGACCUCGGAUCAGGUAGGAAUACCCGCUGAACUUAAGCAUAUCAAUAAGCGGAGG
RNAcentral lists this ribosomal RNA (627 nucleotides) under fungal sp. ARIZ L231. RNAcentral describes it as "eukaryotic LSU rRNA". The stretch from base 240 to 393 matches the Rfam family "5.8S ribosomal RNA". Lineage: Eukaryota; Fungi. The record is from RNAcentral.